RNAcentral lists this ribosomal RNA (454 nucleotides) under uncultured bacterium. RNAcentral describes it as "bacterial SSU rRNA". It matches the Rfam family "Bacterial small subunit ribosomal RNA", at positions 340 to 786 of the family's 1533-position model. The record is from RNAcentral.
UACGGGAGGUAGCAGUGGGGAAUAUUGCACAAUGGGCGCAAGCCUGAUGCAGCCAUGCCGCGUGUAUGAAGAAGGCCUUCGGGUUGUAAAGUACUUUCAGUCGUGAGGAAGGUGUUAAGGUUAAUAACCUUAGCAAUUGACGUUAGCGACAGAAGAAGCACCGGCUAACUCCGUGCCAGCAGCCGCGGUAAUACGGAGGGUGCGAGCGUUAAUCGGAAUUACUGGGCGUAAAGGGCACGCAGGCGGUUAAUUAAGUUGGAUGUGAAAUCCCCGGGCUUAACCUGGGAAUGGCAUUCAAGACUGGUUAGCUAGAGUCUUGUAGAGGGGGUAGAAUUCCAUGUGUAGCGGUGAAAUGCGUAGAGAUGUGGAGGAAUACCGGUGGCGAAGGCGGCCCCUGGACAAAGACUGACGCUCAUGUGCGAAAGCGUGGGGAGCAAACGAGGGAUUAGAUACC